AAAUAAAAGAUUAAUAAAAAUAAAAUAAUAAAAAUAAUUUUAAUAUAAAAUAUGAAAAUGGGGGUUUAAGUAUUUUAUAGAAAAAAUAAAAAAUUUUAUAGGUAAAUAGUAUUGUAAAAGAAAUUUGAAAUAUAUUAAAAUUAAUUUAUUUAAAAGUAAAUUUAAAUUGUUGUAUCUUGUGUAUCAGAGUUUAUUAAAAAAUUUAUAAAUUUUUAUUAAUUUCGAAUUUAAAAGAGAUAAUUAAUUAAAAAAGUUAAUGUAGUAUAAUUAUUUUAAAUAAUUAAUUUGAAAUGAAAUGUUAAUCGUUUUUAAAAAUAUCUAAUUUUUUUAGAAAAAAAUUUAAUUUUGAAAUUUUUAUUUGUUUAUAUGAAUUAAUAAAUAUAAAUAAUAAAAAUUUAAAUAUUUUAAGGGAUAAGCUUUAAAUUAAAUUUUUAUAAUUAAAAAUAAAUUAUUUAAAAUUUUUAAAAUUUAUAUUGUUUAAAAAUUAAAAUUUAUUAUAAAAAAUUUUAAAAUAAAUAAAAUUUUAUUAAAUUUAAUUUUUUAUAAAAAAAUAUUAAUAAAUAAAAAAUUAAUAGAAAUAAUGAUAAAAUUAGUAUAAUAACAAUUAAAAUAAUAAAUUUAUAAUAAAGUAAUAUAAAAGAAUUCGGCAAAUAUAUAUAUUCACUUGUUUAUCAAAAACAUGUCUUUUUGAUAAUAAUUUAAAGUCUAAUCUGCCCACUGAUAAUAUUAAAGGGCUGCAGUAUUUUGACUGUACAAAGGUAGCAUAAUCAAUAGUCUUUUAAUUGAAGACUUGUAUGAAAGAUUGAAUGAAAUAUAAACUGUUUCUAUAUUAAAUUUAAAACUUAAUUUUUUAGUUAAAAAGCUAAAAUAAUUUUAAAAGACGAGAAGACCCUAUAGAGUUUUAUAAUUUAAUUAAUUUUUAUAAAAUAUAAAUAAUUUAAAUAAAAAUUAUUUAAAUUAUUUUAUUGGGGUGAUAAAAAAAUUAAAUAAACUUUUUAUAAUAUUUUACAUAAAUAAUUGAAUAAAUGAUCCAUAAAUUAUGAUUAAAAGAUUAAAUUACCUUAGGGAUAACAGCGUAAUAUUUUUUUUUAGUUCAGAUAAAAAAAAAAGUUUGCGACCUCGAUGUUGGAUUAAGAUAAAAAUUAAACGCAAAAGUUUAAAUUUUUGAUCUGUUCGAUCAUUAAAAUCUUACAUGAUCUGAGUUCAAACCGGUGUAAGCCAGGUUGGUUUCUAUCUUUAAAUAACUAAAAUAUUUUAGUACGAAAGGAUUAAAUAUUUAAAAUAAUUUUAACAAAAGAAUAUUAAUAAUAAAAUUAUA
RNAcentral lists this ribosomal RNA (1318 nucleotides) under Zemeros flegyas. RNAcentral describes it as "16S ribosomal RNA". Lineage: Eukaryota; Metazoa; Arthropoda; Insecta; Lepidoptera; Riodinidae. The record is from RNAcentral.